AUGCAGUCAGUCGCCAACUUCUGCGAGCAUCCUAGCUGCAGGAAUAGUCACGAAAAACAUGCAUCAGCCUCCAGGGUGGUUUCAGCAGAAGUGCACACAGUGAUCACCACAGUACGUGUAGUCUUUUAUUCUUGUUGUUGUUGUUUUCUUUUUGACAAUUUUGUCUCUGCUCCUGUAGAACCAUGCAACAUUGUGAUUCAUGCCAGCUGUUCUGUGAAACUUAAAUUAUAGAAUUUAAUAUUUUGUCCUACGCUAAGGUCAGGUGGACCCUUUACCAGUAAUUUUUCAUGAGAUAAUAAUGCAAGUAUCAACAUUGCAAGUCUCAUGUCAUAUCAGUACAGUAGAAAAGGACUGCCUGCUUCUGCCAACUUCUGGUUAUUACUGAUACAGCUAUGAAUACACAUUUAAGUAAACAAGUAUGCCAAAAUGAACAACCUUGAGUACAUGAAUAACCUCAGUUUCCAGACUAAAGCUAUGCCACAAUUCAGUGAAAUUGCACCUACUGAGUAAAGCCCUAUACAGUGUAAAUAUGAUGUCAUCAAAGGCAUUUCAUUAUUGAUUUUGGUUUUGACUGGAACAUUUAGCUAGGUUGCUCUGAAAGUAAUGCUUUCUAUUUAUUUCCAUGGAAACAAAGUGCACAAUAACAGUGUUUGAUAGACCGAAGUCUCAGCUACAAAACACUGUUUUUCAACAUAGUCAUCACCAUUAGCUGUGCAUUUUCACCAGCAAUGAACAAGAACCUACAUGCCGUGCUCAUAAAAAUCUGCACGAGCUGAGGUAACCCACUGUCAUUGUCAACACUGCUGAAAUGCCUCAAUGUGCUCAUAUCCAUUUUUUGGUCUCCAUAAAUGUUCAGCAAGCAUCGAUGAAGGCCAAUGGGUGUAAUUUUUUCUGCUUGGAGGAAUUCAGUCCCACACCUUUGCUUUAUAUUCACUUCCAUGUCAAACACCAUUUUGUCAAACUUCCCAUACGCUGCCAUCUA
This 982-nucleotide long non-coding RNA is filed under the name Meleagris gallopavo (turkey). RNAcentral describes it as "lncRNA (ENSMGAG00000019376.1)". Lineage: Eukaryota; Metazoa; Chordata; Aves; Galliformes; Phasianidae. The record is from RNAcentral.